CUGUUUACAGAGACUAGAAAGAAAUUUUAUUCUGUUUUAUCCACUUUACUCUAUAUAAAUAGAAAAAUCCUCUUAUCUGUCCAUUGAAGGUUAAUUCUACUCAAGGAUACAGAGAAAGGAAAAUUAAGCACUGAAGUGCAAAUGCAAUAUCCUCACGAGGGAAUCGCAGUCUAUUACACCGGAAUUACUUGUAUAUGAAAUAAAAACAAUUCACGGAAAUCAAGACGUGUUUACAGGAAAGCUUAUCGAUCUUUACCCGUGAAGGGCACAUCUGGAUAUCUGAUAAUUUACUACCAGGGGUUAUGAGAUGGAUUACUGAUCGUUAUCUUUGCCAUUCAGGUGCACGUUGUGAUUAUUUCCAUGAAACAAUGUCGAUUACACUCGAACUAAUCUACAUUUAUAUAAAUAACGGUAUCUGUGAUAGAGUGACUUAUUUUCUAUAGUAGAUAAGUAAAUAAGUCAAAACAGUUUUCAAGAAAUAUCAAAUUAAGUGUUGAUUGUGUUAUUUUAUUCAGAUAUGCAAUGGAGUCAUAAGUAAUUCAUCAUUGGAACAUUGUAUCUGACCCAUGAAUGAUUCACAGAACAAAGAAUGAAAUAAGCAUUUUACAACGAUACAUUGUUAUCCUUCUGUUUCCCGUUGCUAGUUUUCUCAAAUAAAGAACAAUCAUUUAUGCCUCCUCAGCAGAACAUCGUUUAUUUGAUCAUAUAAUUGAAAUCAUAACAAUUGAUCAGUAUGAGAAAGUUGACAUUAAAAACGUUGUCAGCAUGAAAGACAAUUACCAUUAAGUAAUAUGUUGACGUUGCUACCGUAUGGAUUUGAAACAUGGAAAAUUAAUAAAGGGAUGAAAAGAUUAUUGAUGUGUUUCUUAAUAACAGCUUGAGGAGAAUUUUUAAAAAUUGAAUGGCAGGAGAAACUAAUGUAAUCUGAAUUACUAGAAAGAUCAGACAUGAAACCCCUUACUCCAAGAAAUUAGGUACAGAAGAUUGAAAGUCAUGUAACACAUCCUCAGAAAAAACCAUAGCAAUGGCUGCGAAAAAGCUCUGUCUUGGACACCAGAAGGAAAGACUAGAAAUCACCGAGAAGAACGGUGAAGAAGGAGAUGGCGGGGAACGGAUGGUUUUCUCGGGCUGAGGCGAGGUUGUAGACGUUUCGCGGAUGCUUUAUUUACCAUACUUUUAGGCACAAGCGGAUAUGUAUCAUAGGUAAGCUACCGUCAGGCGAGCGCAGCUAGAUAUUCUAUAUAACUCAAACAAUUUAUAUUAUACAUGUACUCUUGUUUAUCUGAUACCUAAUACUUCUGAUACCAAAACAAUUUAGGCAUUUGAUGUGCAUAUUCAUUCAACGCGGGAAAUAUAACGCAUUCGAUGUAAACUGUAUUUUGACGUCAUAUUUAGCUUAUAUUUUUUUCUUUCAAUCCAAGUAAUGAUAAAUAAAACAAUACAAAUGUAUGAGAAAACUGCUCUGGUUAUUAAAACUUUCCUGACAGUUUAAUUAAUCUAUGAUUUUUUCGCAAUCAGAAUCCCUCGGAUGUCUCGCACUCUCAACAUACAUGUUGGUAUUUUCGAUGCGCAGUGACGGCGACAUUUUUCCAAAGCACUUUUAGUAAUCCUCAAUUUUUCAGUUGAGCAAAUCACGUGAAUCACGUGUGUAAUAAUUGGUGGGCGCUUUGGCGUAACUUUAAAUAGGUAAAAAAAAAAAGUAAGAAUACAUAUAUACACAUCUUAUAUUCGUAUUCAUAGAAACUCAUAAACUCGUCCAUCUAUUUAGUCGUAUCAUUGUUUCCUAUAUAAAAGCCUAGAGGCUAAAAUAUAUUACAAUAAUAAUCAUACAAUUAGUUUUCAUCAAAUUGAGUGUUUAAUUUCACAAACUACACGUAAAAGUCUUGUAUUUAUUGGGAAUCAAAUUUAAAAUUCAAAUAAUUGUUGAAGCAACUGAAGAAUCAAUGACUUGGAAUUCCUUGUGUGGCUUUACGCGAAUUGAAAGUAUAGAAUGUACAAUGUAGUUUAUCCCCAUGAUUUCUCAAUUAAGUCCAGAAUAUCCAGAGAGAGGUAAUACGUUUUAACUUCUGAACAUGAUAGAACAUUCACAAGUCCCUUUACUUUUAGGAAUUUCAUAUUUGUACCCAUUACAACCAAAUAAGCCAAAACAUAUAUACAAACCCAUGCAUCCAUUUUUGUUUUCUCCAUCAGGUGUCCAUAAAACUUUUACGUUUGUCUGUCAGUUAGAUUUAAGUAUUUUACAUGAAAAGACAGUAAAAGGCAAAAUAAUAUCAAAUGUAAUUAUAUGUUAGCAUUGAAUUAAGUUUAGAUGUAAAAAAAAAAAAAAAAAAAAAAAAAAGAGA
Long non-coding RNA from Ostrea edulis (European flat oyster), 2342 nucleotides. RefSeq lists it as uncharacterized. The record is from RefSeq and is a predicted model, not a curated record. NCBI's taxonomy places the organism in Eukaryota, Metazoa, Mollusca, Bivalvia, Ostreida, Ostreidae. The transcript is spliced from 2 exons.